AAAUAUGAAGCAAUAUUAUGCAUUUAAUUUCGACUUAAAAGAAAGAGUUUCUACUCCAUAUUUU
RNAcentral lists this transfer RNA (64 nucleotides) under Papilio macilentus. RNAcentral describes it as "tRNA-Arg". Lineage: Eukaryota; Metazoa; Arthropoda; Insecta; Lepidoptera; Papilionidae. The record is from RNAcentral.